UGGUUCUGUCCAAAGUGUGUCCCCUAUCUCGGAUGUGUGGCCCCAGGAGUCCUGGCGUUAGCAUCUUACCUUAGGAGAGUGUCUGCGGCUCGGCGAGAAUGACCCAACCAGUGCUGCUGCUGAACCAGCUACGGUCUUCUCUGCUGCCAGAAUCUGGAUUCCACUAUCUCCAUCCACGACUCACCGGAAAUCUGCAUGAGGUAGACUCGAGCGGCGUUGGCUGCCCCACCGCACAAAAACACGCCAGUCAACAUGAGGCACAGCGACGCGAGGGAGGACGUCAUUGCCUCCGUGUCCGUUCCAGCCGUGUAGAUCGUGUCGAUCACUC
Hippocampus zosterae (dwarf seahorse) is the source of this 328-nucleotide long non-coding RNA. RefSeq lists it as uncharacterized. Lineage: Eukaryota; Metazoa; Chordata; Actinopteri; Syngnathiformes; Syngnathidae. The transcript has 2 exons. The record is from RefSeq and is a predicted model, not a curated record.